AAAUAUUAUACAUCCAAAGUUUACAACAACACCAUUACGUCAAAUAUUUAAGAAUUGCAUUGGUGCUAUAGAUGGUACUCACGUGGAAGUGUAUCCUAAAGUAGAAAAUUCGUAUUGUUGGCGUGGACGAUCGGGGCACACAACCACUAACGUAAUAGCAAUAUGUAACCAUGAUCUCAUGUUCACUUAUUUUGUGUCUGGUGCAGAAGGAUCAAUGCACGACUCAACGGUGCUUGAUAUAGCACGACAUACUCGUUAAUUAAACACAUAUCGAGUUUAUUGUAAAUAAUACUAUAACUAAUUAUUAAUUUGUUACAGGAAAA
Impatiens glandulifera is the source of this 323-nucleotide long non-coding RNA. RefSeq lists it as uncharacterized. The record is from RefSeq and is a predicted model, not a curated record. Lineage: Eukaryota; Viridiplantae; Streptophyta; Magnoliopsida; Ericales; Balsaminaceae. The transcript has 2 exons.